Molecule: ribosomal RNA, 468 nt
Filed under: uncultured bacterium
Lineage: Bacteria
Description: partial 16S ribosomal RNA
Rfam family: Bacterial small subunit ribosomal RNA
Source: RNAcentral
GACGAACGCUGGCGGCGUGCUUAACACAUGCAAGUCGAGCGGAAAGGCCCUGCUUUUGUGGGGUGCUCGAGUGGCGAACGGGUGAGUAACACGUGAGUAACCUGCCCUUGACUUUGGGAUAACUUCGGGAAACUGGGGCUAAUACCGGAUAGGAGCUCCUGCUGCAUGGUGGGGGUUGGAAAGUUUCGGCGGUUGGGGAUGGACUCGCGGCUUAUCAGCUUGUUGGUGGGGUAGUGGCUUACCAAGGCUUUGACGGGUAGCCGGCCUGAGAGGGUGACCGGCAAGAUGAGGACUGAGGUAGGCCCGGGCCCCAGGCGGAGGGAAGCAGGGGGGAAUAGUGCACAAGGGGGGGACGCAGGAGGCAGCAACCCCGGGGGCGGGAUAGCGGCCUGCGGUUGUGAACCAGAUUUCGCCGGGGCCGAACGGGGAGUGACGGUAAUGGGAAAGGAAGCACCGGCUAAAUACGUG